RNAcentral lists this ribosomal RNA (253 nucleotides) under uncultured bacterium. RNAcentral's name for it is "partial 16S ribosomal RNA". It matches the Rfam family "Bacterial small subunit ribosomal RNA", at positions 524 to 776 of the family's 1533-position model. The record is from RNAcentral.
UACGUAGGGUGCAAGCGUUGUCCGGAAUUAUUGGGCGUAAAGAGCUUGUAGGCGGUUUGUCGCGUCUGCUGUGAAAUUUCGGGGCUCAACCCCGAACUUGCAGUGGGUACGGGUAGACUAGAGUGUGGUAGGGGAGACUGGAAUUCCUGGUGUAGCGGUGAAAUGCGCAGAUAUCAGGAGGAACACCGAUGGCGAAGGCAGGUCUCUGGGCCACUACUGACGCUGAGAAGCGAAAGCAUGGGGAGCGAACAGG